GGAAAUAAGUUUCAUACAGUAAUUUUUAUAAGUGAUAUUUGCAUGAAACAUUCAUGUAUGUUGAGAGGUCAUGAUUAAACAAAAAUGAUGAUGAGAAUUUAAUGUUCUAUAGGUAUCUAUAAUAUAAACUGCUAGAGUAUUAGAGAUAAAUGUUAGAAUGUCUCUUCAUUUCAGUGUUCCUUGAAAUUGGAUGUGUUUGAACCUUGUACAUUUCCAUGGGUAAAAUUAUGUCCCAAUUGAUGGAAUUUUCUUUUUUCCCCCCUCUCUUCUUCCUUUCUUUUCUAAUUGAAGAACAUUUUUAAAAAAUUGAUACUCAGGUUAAAUUAAAUUAACACUUCAAGCUAAAAACUCUGUAAUUGAGAUUGCCUCUAGAGAAGAUAGAAGAACAUUGCACAAUUUAAGCCCCCAAUUGUCUAUUGAGCUUUUAGGUCUGAGUAAAUUCUCUUUCAUGUAAAUAAAAGUUUUACCUGUUUAUGUAGCAUCCAUAAAAUCAGGUGUUAAAUCCAGUUUCUUUUAAUUAAAUAGAUACUGUAGCUUUUUCAACCAAUAGGUAAAUUGACAAAACCAAGAGAAAGUAAUGAAAAUCUGGACUUGCCCAGCUUCCCAUUAAAAGUUGUAUAUUUACUUGUCCAGUCUAUCUGCCAUCUCUGUCUUCCUGUCCCCCCCCACUUUUCUUUGUGGUACCAUGAAUCAAACUGAGGGCCUCAUGCGUGCUAGACAAGUACUGUACACUGAUCACUGAGCUACAACCCAUCCUCUAGGUGAUCUCAUUCAACAUCUAGAAGUAAGGAAUGAGGGGACCUGAACAGAGAAGGAACCUUAGAUUUAUUUCAGAGGUGAAAAUUAUAAUUUCUUUUCAGUGUAUUGUUUCCAAAGAUCUUACAUAUAUACAGCUAAGUAUUAAAUUCAUCUCUUGCAAUUCAGGAAAAGCUAUACUAUAUAUAUAGGUAUUAUUUUAAAGAAAUUUAUAAUUCUUUUAUGACCUGGUAUAUAAAUCUAGAAUAUUUAAUAAGCAUGUGUUCAUAUAAAUAAAAUGUAUAUUUAUUUUUAAAUUGGUAUGGAAUAUCAGAAUAAAGAUUUCUAGAUACUUGUAA
Molecule: long non-coding RNA, 1094 nt
Filed under: Heterocephalus glaber (naked mole-rat)
Lineage: Eukaryota; Metazoa; Chordata; Mammalia; Rodentia; Bathyergidae
Description: lncRNA (ENSHGLG00000044974.1)
Source: RNAcentral